Molecule: non-coding RNA, 181 nt
Organism: Podarcis lilfordi (Lilford's wall lizard)
Lineage: Eukaryota; Metazoa; Chordata; Lepidosauria; Squamata; Lacertidae
Source: the annotation of a GenBank genome assembly
UGGAUGGGGUGAGGUGGUGGCACCUGUGUCCAUAUUGUUGGCUCUGCGAUGACAUCUUCACAUAUUGAGUAAAUAAUUUGAUGCUAGAGCCAUUGAGCAAUGAAUGUGUGUGUGUGUGUGUGUGUGUGUGAGAGAGAGAGAGAGAGAGAGAGAGAGACAGUCCUUGGUAGAUCAGUUCCAU